This is a long non-coding RNA of Triticum aestivum (bread wheat), 339 nucleotides long. RefSeq lists it as uncharacterized. NCBI's taxonomy places the organism in Eukaryota, Viridiplantae, Streptophyta, Magnoliopsida, Poales, Poaceae. The record is from RefSeq and is a predicted model, not a curated record. The transcript has 3 exons.
UUUUUCUUAAGGAUGCAGUGACAUGCAAGGCGAGGCAAAUUGAAGCCAAAACAGAAGGACGGUCGGAAGUGUGCCAUUUUUUCUAUAUAGGGCAGGGGGUGGUUCUUCAAUCUUCAGGGAAUCAAGCGGUAGCACCGGAUGCUGACAUGCAUGGAAGCAGUAAACAUUGAUAGGAAUACAAGCAUUGGAGUACUCGCCAUGUUCGAGGAAUUCGUAGCUGAUGGCGGCAUCAUCAUGGAGCAGGCACCAUCUUCUCCUCUAUUUAAACUGUAGUACUUCAUGUACUCCCACUUGUAAACUUUCUGAAAUGCAAAUCCACUCCAAGAAUGUGCUCUGAAA